RNAcentral lists this ribosomal RNA (397 nucleotides) under uncultured bacterium. Its description in RNAcentral is "partial 16S ribosomal RNA". It matches the Rfam family "Bacterial small subunit ribosomal RNA", at positions 523 to 918 of the family's 1533-position model. The record is from RNAcentral.
AUACGAAGGGUGCAAGCGUUACUCGGAAUUACUGGGCGUAAAGCGUGCGUAGGUGGUUGUUUAAGUCUGUCGUGAAAGCCCUGGGCUCAACCUGGGAAUGGCGAUGGAAACUGGGCGACUAGAGUGUGGCAGAGGGUAGUGGAAUUCCUGGUGUAGCAGUGAAAUGCGUAGAGAUCAGGAGGAACAUCCGUGGCGAAGGCGACUGCCUGGGCCAACACUGACACUGAGGCACGAAAGCGUGGGGAGCAAACAGGAUUAGAUACCCUGGUAGUCCACGCCCUAAACGAUGCGAACUGGAUGUUGGGUGCAAUUUGGCACGCAGUAUCGAAGCUAACGCGUUAAGUUCGCCGCCUGGGGAAUACGGUCGCAAGACUGAAACUCAAAUGAAUUGACGGGG